RNAcentral lists this ribosomal RNA (1149 nucleotides) under Vibrio crassostreae. RNAcentral's name for it is "partial 23S ribosomal RNA". It matches the Rfam family "Bacterial large subunit ribosomal RNA", at positions 398 to 1553 of the family's 2925-position model. Lineage: Bacteria; Pseudomonadati; Pseudomonadota; Gammaproteobacteria; Vibrionales; Vibrionaceae. The record is from RNAcentral.
AUCAGUGAAAACGAGUAGGGCGGGACACGUGAUAUCCUGUCUGAAUAUGGGGGGACCAUCCUCCAAGGCUAAAUACUACUGACUGACCGAUAGUGAACCAGUACCGUGAGGGAAAGGCGAAAAGAACCCCUGUGAGGGGAGUGAAAUAGAACCUGAAACCGUGUACGUACAAGCAGUAGGAGCACCUUCGUGGUGUGACUGCGUACCUUUUGUAUAAUGGGUCAGCGACUUAAUUUUAGUAGCAAGGUUAACCGUUUAGGGGAGCCGUAGGGAAACCGAGUCUUAACUGGGCGUACAGUUGCUAGGAUUAGACCCGAAACCAGGUGAUCUAGCCAUGGGCAGGUUGAAGGUUGAGUAACAUCAACUGGAGGACCGAACCGACUAAUGUUGAAAAAUUAGCGGAUGACUUGUGGCUAGGGGUGAAAGGCCAAUCAAACCUGGAGAUAGCUGGUUCUCCCCGAAAGCUAUUUAGGUAGCGCCUCGGACGAAUACUACUGGGGGUAGAGCACUGUUAAGGCUAGGGGGUCAUCCCGACUUACCAACCCUUUGCAAACUCCGAAUACCAGUAAGUACUAUCCGGGAGACACACGGCGGGUGCUAACGUCCGUCGUGGAGAGGGAAACAACCCAGACCGCCAGCUAAGGUCCCAAAGUAUAGCUAAGUGGGAAACGAUGUGGGAAGGCUCAGACAGCCAGGAUGUUGGCUUAGAAGCAGCCAUCAUUUAAAGAAAGCGUAAUAGCUCACUGGUCGAGUCGGCCUGCGCGGAAGAUGUAACGGGGCUAAGCUAUACACCGAAGCUGCGGCUACGUACCUUAGGGUAUGUGGGGUAGGGGAGCGUUCUGUAAGCCGUUGAAGGUGGUCUGUAAGGGCUGCUGGAGGUAUCAGAAGUGCGAAUGCUGACAUGAGUAACGAUAAAGGGAGUGAAAAACUCCCUCGCCGGAAGACCAAGGGUUCCUGUCCAACGUUAAUCGGGGCAGGGUAAGUCGACUCCUAAGGCGAGGCCGAAAGGCGUAGUCGAUGGGAAACAGGUUAAUAUUCCUGUACUUCUUACAAUUGCGAUGGGGGGACGGAGAAGGCUAGGUGGGCCUGGCGACGGUUGUCCAGGUUCAAGUACGUAGGCGGGUGGUUUAGGUAAAUCCGGACCGCUAU